This is a long non-coding RNA of Brassica oleracea var. oleracea, 599 nucleotides long. RefSeq lists it as uncharacterized. The transcript has 2 exons. NCBI's taxonomy places the organism in Eukaryota, Viridiplantae, Streptophyta, Magnoliopsida, Brassicales, Brassicaceae. The record is from RefSeq and is a predicted model, not a curated record.
AGGUUGAAGAUGCUCUUAGUAAAAUUAGGAUUUAGAAAAAAAAGAAAAAUAGUAAUUAAGAGAAGGGACGUUGCUUAAAUAAGGGCUAGAACAACCGUGUCUUAGAAACACCUGUUCUAAUUGUAUUGGCCAGAGAUUUUGAGAAGGAAACGAAAAAACGUUCCCUACGAAGAAAGAAAAGUCGAGACCCUUUGGUUUCUCUAUCUCCCUCUCUCGGGUGCUCCCGGACGAAGAAAAUCGCAUGCUGAAUCGAAAGGUGAGAAGGGAAGGAGAAUCAGGGAGUUGACAUCUCUUGUGGAGAAGAGAUUCAGGUUUCCUCAAGACAGUGUUGAGCUUUACGUUGAGAAGGUUGCCAACAGAGGUCUCUGUGCCAUUGCUCAGGCUGAGUCUCUCCGUUACAAGCUCCUCGGUGGACUUGCUGUUUGCAGGUAUGUACAUUUCAUAAAAAUAGAUGCAGUGUAUCUGUAAAACCAUGUUAGAAACCUGAUAGCUUCACAUAGUGAUAUCAUCACACAUUAUAAUGUGGAACCAGUUACUUGUUGUGUGUGUAAUAUGGUACGAACUGAUGAAUACAAACAUUAUAAUAUGUUUCCUCUGUA